AACGAACGCUGGCGGCAUGCCUAACACAUGCAAGUCGAACGAGACCUUCGGGUCUAGUGGCGCACGGGUGCGUAACGCGUGGGAAUCUACCCUUGGGUUCGGAAUAACAGUUAGAACUGACUGCUAAUACCGGAUGAUGACGUAAGUCCAAAGAUUUAUCGCCCAAGGAUGAGCCCGCGUAAGAUUAGCUUGUUGGUGGGGUAAUGGCCUACCAAGGCGACGAUCUUUAGCUGGUCUGAGAGGAUGAUCAGCCACACUGGGACUGAGACACGGCCCAGACUCCUACGGGAGGCAGCAGUCGAGAAUAUUUCGCAAUGGGGGAAAGCCUGAUCCAGCAAGGCCGCGUGAGUGAUGAAGGCCUUAGGGUUGUAAAGCUCUUUUACCAGGGAUGAUAAUGACAGUACCUGGAGAAUAAGCUCCGGCUAACUCCGUGCCAGCCGCCGCGGUAA
RNAcentral lists this ribosomal RNA (449 nucleotides) under uncultured bacterium. Its description in RNAcentral is "partial 16S ribosomal RNA". It matches the Rfam family "Bacterial small subunit ribosomal RNA", at positions 29 to 523 of the family's 1533-position model. The record is from RNAcentral.